GCUCUCGGGAAGAUCCUUACCGCUGUGUCAGCGCUCAGCCUGCGGCAGUCUAUUCAACGGAGCAAGAUGAAGCUCAGCACGGAUUCAAGGGAUGAGGAGUUAGCAUCCACCGCUAGAUGGAAGGACCUGCAAAGACACGAUGCAAAGGAAGAGGAAAUCGGGGCCAUCACCAGGGCAGUGCAUCACAGCAGACAGAGACAGAUGAACGUUCAGAAAACGGACAGUUGGUUCUUAUUAUUCACAGCAGACCUGUGUUCUGUAAAGUCACCACCACACUGAAUUAGCGAGUGCGGAAGGAUUGCUGUCGGGAAACACGGGGCUGGGUUCCUGGGAGCCUCCAGGUCACAAUAUCUUCAUCACUUCAAAGGGCAUCUAUGCUGUAAAGGUUUGUUUGCCGACCUCCUUGUGAAACAAGCUCAUCAGCGUUAAAAACGUACCCUCCCACAAAACUCUUUUCUUGUAUAACACUUGGUAUCUGUAAAACUCCUCUGAUCAUCAGGGCUUACCCGGACCAGGGUCUGGUCUGAUCUCCAGUGCAGCAGGCUCACUUGGCCCACUGCGCUGUGGAAGGAAAAUGUUAUAGAGUUUCUAAGGAUGUAUUUCUCUUUCAUUUGUGACUUUAGAAAAUGAUGCCACAUCACCCAGCCAUGCCCUUCACUGAGCCGCUCUGGUUUCUCAACUGGGAAAUGUGAUAACCCCUUUCCCUGGCUGGGCCCCUGCCUCACGGUACUAGUCUGGGUUCAGUGGCCCAAGUGACACUGAAAAUACCAGUUUUUCCUUCAUUUGAGGUCACUUUUAUGUGUUUCUAACUGUGACCAGAAGAUGGCGCCCAUUCCCAACAAGUGGCCAAGAGCAGCCUGAGUCCCUCACAUUGGUGCUUGUAGCCAGUUGCUACAGUGUUAUGUGAGUAAUUACUAAUGGCCCUGCUACCAUCCUGAUAACCUUGCCACGCUGGUACUUGGAUAGUGUGUUCCUGAACUUCCCAGCAAGUGGGGAAGCACCCGAGAGCACUGGUUUGCAGACAGCGUCCCGUGUCCAGGGCCUGGAACGCCAAAGGCUUGGCAGGGUCUGGGUGUGCUUGCGGGGGCGGGGACAGAACCCCAGCUGCUCUUCAUCCCUCUUCCAUUUCGUUCUCUUCCCACUGCAAUUCCAAGACUUUCCUACAGACAAGACCCUCCCCCUAGCAUGGCUGCUGCUUGCUGAGAGCAGGUUACAUUCCAGACGCUGGAGGGACCCUUUCCGUGAAUAGUUGAAGUCUCUGAACAGUCCGGGAGGAAGGGGUUUAGAAGCUCUUUCAAAAAGGAGGAAGCACAGGCUUCAAAAGAGUCCCAGCAGGUGGCAGGGGAGGGAUUCUAGUAAGGCAGCCAGAACAUCUCUGUGCACCUCUUUCCUGGCGCAGCACGGAGUCCAAGGAACUGAGAACUCAGAGGUGGGUGAGCUCUGGAUCCCUGGGCUCCUGGAGUUCACCAUCCAGUUAGAGAGAGGGCCACACAUGCAUGCGCGCGCGCACACACACACACACACACACACACACACACACACUCUCUCACACACUCUAUUACCAGCAGAUUGUGUGAUACAUGAGGACACGCAGGUCUGAAGAACUUGCAAAGGGGCGCUGCUCUCAGCCCUCCCGAGUUUCCACGUUGUUUUGCUGUUAGAGAGAAAUGCUUGCUCCCAGCAAUGCAGGAGGGAUUGUCCCACAGCAGUGCUUCUCAAACUUACUUGGGUUCUUGCUAAAGAGGCAGGUGUGGAGUGGGGCCUGGGAUUCUGAAUUUCUAACAGCCUGCGGGGUAGGGUGGAUACCGCUGGUUCAGAGACCACAGGGAGCAGCAAGGGCUGCUGGAGGGUUGGCCCAGGACCUCUUAGGGAUGGCCCAUGAGCUAAGAAUGGUUUUACAUUUCCAAAGGGCUGUAGGAAAAAAAGAAGGAGAAAAAGAAGAAUAUGCGGCAGAUCAUAGGUAGCCCUCAAAACCUAAGAUAUUUGCCAUCUGGCCCUUUAUCUAAAAAACUCUGCAGACUCUGGGACUAAAGCACUUCUGCGCCCUCCCCCGUCCCCUUGGACUCCAUCAGAAGAACUGUCAUAAGCUUCCAGCCUCCUUCAAGGAGAUGAAACCUCAACGCCUCUGGCCGGGUCUCAUUGUAAUGCCCCUUCUCCCAUCUUGACCAGCCUGGGUUGCUCCCUCCCUGCUAGAGAAGGAAUGUGCCCAUUUUUCACCCAGCCUUCGCAUACCCUGUUCCCCAUGCAAAUAAAGCAUCCUGCCCAAGACCAAUCAGAAGGUCUAAUUGGGUCCCCACUCAGGUCGCCUUGUGGGGUAUAAAGACUAUUGCAGAGUGAGUCGGGGCUUCUCUUUUUAACCGGUGUGCACAGGAGUCCGCUCUCCCUCUCUGAUGAUGUGCUUUUGCUUUAAUAAAUUUGUAAAAUGUCCACCAUUCCAAUGCUUUGUUAUGGUGAGACAGGGACCAGCAACCUGUGAUGCUAUCACAACAAGUCCUCUUCAUGGCAGUUUGGAAGAGAAAGCCAGGCUCACUCAGCUUUGCUCUGUGCCCCCAGCCUUCUGCCUGCAGGAAGCCUAUAUUCUGGGAGAAGCGGGUUGGGACUCUGCUGUGGGGGAUGGGCCUGCGGUGGUCCCACUGAUGCAGUGACGAGGUAAAUGGGGAGUCAAGUGAACCCACUUUCCCGCACACCUGGGGCCAGCUCUCCAGGCCACUCAUCUGUCAUCA
This 2723-nucleotide long non-coding RNA is filed under the name Sus scrofa (pig). RNAcentral's name for it is "lncRNA (ENSSSCG00035047187.1)". The record is from RNAcentral. Lineage: Eukaryota; Metazoa; Chordata; Mammalia; Artiodactyla; Suidae.